GUCACCUCCUUCAGGUGAGAACGUCCCAUCCUUGGUGUCACCUCUCCAUGGUGUCACCUCCAUGGUGGCACCUCUCCAUGGUGUCAUCUACCCAUGGUGGCAUCUGUCCAUGGUGGCACCUCCAUGGUGGCACCUCCAUGGUGGCACCUCCUUCAGGUGAGAACGUCCCGUCCUUGGUGGCACCUCCAUGGUGGCACCUCCUUCAGGUGAGAACGUCCCGUCCAUGGUGGCACCUCCCCAUGGUGGCACCUACAUGGUGGCAUCUGUCCAUGGUGGCACCUCAUGGUGUCUCCUCCCUGUGGUGUCACUGGUGUCACCUCCAUGGUGUCACUGCAUGGUGGCACCUCCCCAUGGUGUCACCACUCCAUGGUGUCACCACUCCAUGGUGUCCCCUCCCCAUGGUGGCACCUGUCCUUGGUGUCACCUCCAUGGUGUCACUUCUCCAUGGUGUCACCUUCCAUUGGUGUCACCUCUAUGGUGUCACCUCUCCAUAGUGGCACCUACCCAUGGUGGCACCUCCUUCAGGUGAGAAUGUCCCUGUCCUUGGUGUCACCUCCCCAUGGUGUCACCUACCCAUGGUGUCACCUUCCAGUGGUGGCACCUCUCCAUGGUGUCACCUUCCAUUGGUGUCACCUCCCCUUGGUGGCACCUCCUUCAGGUGAGAACGUCCCUGUCCAUGGUGUCACCUCCAUGGUGGCACCUCUCCAUGGUGGCACCUCCUUCAGAUGAGAAUGUCCCUGUCCAUGGUGGCACCUGCCCUUGGUGGCACCUCCAUGGUGUCCCCUCAUGGUGUCCCCUCCCUGUGGUGUCACUAAUGUCACCUCUGUGGUAUCACCUCCCCAUGGUGUCACUUCCCCAUGGUGGCACCUCCCCAUGGUGUCACCUCCUUCAGGUGAGAACGUCCUGUCCUUGGUGGCACCUCCCCAUGGUGUCACCUCCUCAUGGUGUCACCUCUCCAUGGUGUCACCUCCUCAUGGUGUCACCUCUCCAUGGUGUCACCUCCCCAUGGUGGCACCUCUCCAUGGUGUCACCUCCUUCAGUGUCUAUGACAAGCGUGGCCACCUGUGUCCGUUCGACUCCGGCCUCAUCGAGCGCAACAUCGAGCUUUACUUCAGCGGCGUCGUCAAACCCAUCUACGACGACAACCCCAGCCUGGACGGU
This 1161-nucleotide long non-coding RNA is filed under the name Zonotrichia albicollis (white-throated sparrow). Its description in RNAcentral is "lncRNA (ENSZALG00000002093.1)". The record is from RNAcentral. Lineage: Eukaryota; Metazoa; Chordata; Aves; Passeriformes; Passerellidae.